This is a long non-coding RNA of Ictalurus punctatus (channel catfish), 4983 nucleotides long. The record is from Ensembl. Lineage: Eukaryota; Metazoa; Chordata; Actinopteri; Siluriformes; Ictaluridae.
GGGUGCGUGGGACAGCGAGAGGAGAACACGUGCUUGAGAUAAAGAGAGAAAGGCUCGUGAAUUAUCAGAAAUCACUUUUCCUGUCUUUCCUUUUUUAUUUGACUGAAGCUGAGCACUUUUGGUUAAAAAAAAAAAAAAGGAAAAAAAAAAAAAACCAUUCCUGCCAUGGAGAACACCACCACAUUGUCCUGCAGAAACAUUUCUGAUGGUGAUGGUUACACUUACAAAGUGCCGUCUUAUAUACCAUCUGCUCUACUGCAGGACGAGGACUGUGAGCAAGAGUGGAAAAAUAAGGCAGGGGAGUUUUUGUCAGAUGGACAUCAUCAUGCAAAUAAAACUGAGCACCCACUGGUUCGUAAUGAAACCAUAAAAAACAUCAAAGUCUCUGAAUGCAUCGAGCUUCACCAUUCUGUGACCUGUCAUGGAUCGAGUCAAAAGUUUAUACACACUUACCAAGUGAUCAAUGACACCGCCCUGAGUUUUGAGCAGCAAUCCAAUAGCACCACCACCAACACCACCAUCAUCUCUGUUGUCGUUCCCCUUAUUCUGAUUGUAGUCCUGAUUGUAGGCCUGCACUACAUUUUUAAAAAAAAAAAAAAAAAAAAAAAAAAAGGUAAAUAUGCAUCACCCUUACAUAGGCAGCUAAAUGAGGGAAGUUUAAAUAUUUGAAUCUGCUGUGUGAUGACUGUAACAUUAGACGUUGCACUGUGAUGUAGGGUGAAAUCAUUUGUGAAGGAGGGGGUUUUAAUGUUAAAAUGCUUUUCCUGCACGUUCACCUGUCCUGUUAAACCGCUGUAUGGUCUUGGCCAUCGUGCUGCAGCUCAGUGUCCGGUUCUUGGCAAUCUUCUUACAGCCUAGGCCAUUUUUAUGUAGAGCAACAAUACUUUUUUCAGAUCCUCAGAGUUCUUUGCCAUGACGUGCCAUGUUGAACUUCCAGUGACCAGUAUGAGGGAGUGUGAGAGCAAUGACACCAAAUUUAGCACCCAUGCUCCCCGAUUCACACCUGAGACCUUGUAACACUAACAAGUCACAUGACACCGGGGAGGGAAAAUGGCUAAUUGGGCCCAAUUUGGACAUUUUCACUUAGGGGUGUACUCACUUUUGUUGCCAGUGGUUUAGACAUUAAUGGCUGUGUGUUGAGUUAUUUUGAGGGGACAGAAAAUUUACACUGUUACACAAGCUGUACACUCACUACUUUACAUUGUAGCAAAGUGUCAUUUCUUCACUGUUGUCACAUGAAAAGAUAUAAUCAAAUAUUUACAAAAAUGUGAGGGGUGUACUCACUUUUGUGUGAUACUGUAUGUGUGUGUGUGUGUGUGUGUGUGUGUGUGUGUGUGUAUGUAUGUAGUGUGUGUAUAUCUAAAUGUGUGCAAUAUUUGUAUAUAUUUACAGUGAACCUGUUUUUACUUAUUCUUAAUUAACUGUUUUUAAACUCUCUCAUUUUAACUGUAAUGUUUAAGUGUCCUUUGUUGCUCUCUGAGAGUUGCCACACUAUAUUUCAUCGUAUUGCAUACAACAACAAAGUGUUUUACACUUAGUGUAAGAGUUAAACCUUAACUACUGGAUGUAGAUAAACAGGACUGAUUGAAACAAAUAUGGCUAUAUAGAUGUUUUUGAUGGAUAAAUAAAUAGUUAGGGCUGUCUAUUGAUUAUUUUGAUAAUUGAUUAGUGCACCAUUGCCUUCUAUUAAAUAAUCUAGUAGUUGAUAUCGUAUAGCAUCUUAAAACCUACUUAUUAAAUGUUAAAUUGUUUUUUUACCUAAUAUUCUGACUAUUUAAUGAAAAAAAAAUGUUUUUUUUGUGUAUAUACAAUUUAAAAAUCCUGAAUUGUAUCUGUAGCAUUACUGUUUUGUUUGUGUGUUUACUGUAAGGGAGACAAAGAAGAGAAAUUUAAAAUGGCAAAUUCUUAAUCUCAAUUUAAAAUGCACUUUAUUAAAUAAUUUGACUAAUUUGUAAUGGCUAAGAGCCGUUGAUGAAAACAGAAUGUAGGAUUUAAUGUUGCAAUGUUCCAAAUACAAAGUUUGUACUUAUACUGAUACUUGUUAUUGUCAGAGGUGGUUCGAGUAUCAAAAAUAGUAACUCAAGUUAAAGUACCAUUACUUAGAAAAAUACGCCAAUCUGUCCAAGUAUGUUCUUGAUUAAGAGUAUGACUGUAUCUAGUUAAAAAUUAAGGUUGCUGUUACACAGGAAGCGUCAGAUAAAACGGAUUGAAUGUAAAUGUAGACGCAUCCGAUUUUAAACUCCUUUAUUGAGAUGCGUUUGAUCAAGCAAGUGUAACUCCGAGUGAAAGCUUCUGCGUGCAGUGACAUGCCUAUUGCAUGUAGCGUUAUCACAGAGCAGGGUGUCGCAUUCAAACUUUCGUCAAGUAGUUUAACGCUGGUUAACUUAACAUAAUUAUAUCUUCAGUUUUGCUGAGCUUUAUCACCACCUUCAUCGCCAGCACCAUUUGGCGAAUAUUUGAUUUAAAUGAAAUUUUCACUGAGGAUAUUUUUUUUUAUAAUUGAGUAUUAGUGCCAGCCCUAUAAAGAGUUAAACAAUUAGAACAGGUGUAUAGAAUUUAGAUUUUCUAUUAUUAAAAUAAUUGUAUUUCUCUACUGUGUUUUGUCCGUCAGUGGUGAAGUGCUGAGCAGCCAGAGCACUCCAAGAGCAUAUGAAGAUUAAGUUUCUCCAUCCAGUUUGAUUCUGCCUUUUCUAUAAUCGUACUUGUAUAUCUGCUUUUGUACUUUCACUAUAUUUUUCUUGCAUUUUGAACAUUUUUAAAAUGUUAAAAUACUAAAUAGGUAAACAGACCUUGGAAUUAUAGGAUUCUUACCACAAGUGCCAAAUGUUUUAAUCACGUCAAAGCACACAGAACAACUUUUAUACUUCACACAUUUUAUUAUACUAUGUAGCAGUAUUUUGGUGUAAAAUAUAUUGUAUACGUUGUUGCGUCCCAGUCUAGGUUGGGCCGCACAAAGUAACCAGCUCAGGAUUCAAGUUGAUUGAUCUUUUAAAGUGUAAGUGAGGGAGCCAGGAGUAACAACAAAACAGGGUUGUUCAAAAAGUUGUAGUGUAUUAUCUCAGACAAUAUAUACAUAUAACUAUACAAAUAACCUAAAUAGGCAUAUCUUCAGGGUGGACCAAAGCCAAAAUAAUUAACAAAAGGAUCCUAUGAUUUAGGUGUCUAGCUGACCUAAAAGGAAAGAAAAGAAAAUAUAAAUAUUCUACCCUAACUACCUAAGCAAGAAACAGAGACAAAAGGGACCAUCUCCCAAAAUAAAUGACAGCCACACCCCUACAGCCACUGAACCAAAAGAGCACGAGCACACACACACACACACACACACACACACAUGUGGAGAGAAUGCACAAACAAUAUAUAUAUAGGGAUAACCAAACUCUGAGUCAAAAACCAGGCAGAAGUCAAAAUACAGAGUUAGCCACAAGGGCAAGCACACAAAUCAAGCAAUCUCCUAACACCACUACCAAACACCUCCAACACCCCACCACGUCUCACUCUGUCUUCCUCUUUAAAAAUGGCCGCCAUUCAUUGAGGUCAUCAAGGAGACGGGAGCAAGACAGACUAUGGCAGGCUUGGAAAAAAGCGUGAAAAGUAAACCGGUAUUUUAUUUUAAAAAAAAUUAAAAAGCAGAAAAAAUAUGUAUUGCUGCAUCAUUAACACUGCCUAUAGGUCAUCAAGAAGAGACUGCUAUAAUUGAGUUAGUCAAGUUUAAUUCAGUAUUUAAAAAAAAAAAAUACAGCUACAAUAUUUUUAAAAAAUCAGGCUGCCCCUUCAUUUUAUUAAAAACAUUUUUAUAGUACUGUGAAUUAAAAUGUUGCACAAAACAAUGAAGACCAAAGAACUUAUUAAAUCCUAGAGUAAUAUAAAAUACAGUAUUAAUAAUCAAAGAUUGUUAAAUUUGUUUACUUAUUGUAUGUUAUUUAUCACUUCAUGCUGCCAUUUAAAGAAUGUGUUUGUUUUAAACAACUGGCAGUUUAAGCUGACAUGACCACUCUGAGUGUAACAUUAAAGCAGGGCUGUCAAACAUGGGACUGGACUGUCCAGUGGGAAAUGACUGGCCCUAUAGAAGUAUUUGUAAUCCAACCUAGCAUAUGAAUUUAGAAACCAUAAUAUUUUAUUGGACAUUUAUUUAUUUUUAAUGAAUUGCAGAGUGCACACAAUGUAGAUUUCCACUAAAUUGGUCAAUAACCAACUUUUUCUGUCCCAUCGAACCAAGUAUAAUCUAUUCUGUAAGAUGUCCCUGAUUUAAAGCAUUAAUUUGUACUCAUGCAAUACUUUUAUUUAUUUCUUUAUUUAUUUUCUCAUUUUUUCUUUAAUGCCAUCACUUUAUUAGGGAUCUAAAUGUCUAUCAAGCUUCUCUGUGACUGUACAAUGAAAUAUCUGACCUUGCUGAGUGACUUUCUUUUAUAUACGUAGCCUGAACUGGAGAACUCUAUAUCUUGGGUGAAUGUAGCUGUUGCUGUAGAAUGAGACAAUCUGAAUAAAAAACAUCUCUUUUAAUACCACAGCACUGUUUGAUUCUGAAUUGUGAUUGGCCACAAUGUGUUGAUUGAUUUUUCUUUAAGAGCAGCUCUGGCAGUAGUGCAGCUGCAAAAUGGUUCAUGUUGUCUAGUUUGGUCUUUUCUGGAAAAAUUGCAAUAUGAUGCCAUAUUGUUACACCCUUAAACACUGUAUAUUACUUAACGUACCUUGUGCUUCUUUUGCUGUUUACUGUUUCAGAAAGUCACUAUAAAGCACAUGUCAGAAUGAUAACAUGGUCGGUACUACUGAGUGUUCAAUACAGAAAACAAUGGGAAUUUAAUGACCACUUGUACAGUGCUGCUAGAAAGUUUGUGAACCCUUUACAAAUUUCUGUAUUUCUGCAUAACUUUUACCAGAAAUGUGAUCAGAUCUUCAUCUAAGACUUAAAACUUGAUAAAGAGAACUCAAUAAAUAAAUGUAAAAACUAUGAUGUUUGUGUCAUUUGUUUAACUGAGCAAAAAA